CGGCGUGCUUAACACAUGCAAGUCGAACGGAAAGGCCCUGCUUUUGUGGGGUGCUCGAGUGGCGAACGGGUGAGUAACACGUGAGUAACCUGCCCUUGACUUUGGGAUAACUUCAGGAAACUGGGGCUAAUACCGGAUAGGAGCUCCUGCUGCAUGGUGGGGGUUGGAAAGUUUCGGCGGUUGGGGAUGGACUCGCGGCUUAUCAGCUUGUUGGUGGGGUAGUGGCUUACCAAGGCUUUGACGGGUAGCCGGCCUGAGAGGGUGACCGGCCACAUUGGGACUGAGAUACGGCCCAGACUCCUACGGGAGGCAGCAGUGGGGAAUAUUGCACAAUGGGCGGAAGCCUGAUGCAGCAACGCCGCGUGCGGGAUGACGGCCUUCGGGUUGUAAACCGCUUUCGCCUGUGACGAAGCGUGAGUGACGGUAAUGGGUAAAGAAGCACCGGCUAACUACGUGCCAGCAGCCGCGGUGAUACGUAGGGUGCGAGCGUUGUCCGGAUUUAUUGGGUGUAAAGGGCUCGUAGGUGGUUGAUCGCGUCGGAAGUGUAAUCUUGGGGCUUAACCCUGAGCGUGCUUUCGAUACGGGUUGACUUGAGGAAGGUAGGGGAGAAUGGAAUUCCUGGUGGAGCGGUGGAAUGCGCAGAUAUCAGGAGGAACACCAGUGGCGAAGGCGGUUCUCUGGGCCUUUCCUGACGCUGAGGAGCGAAAGCGUGGGGAGCGAACAGGCUUAGAUACCCUGGUAGUCCACGCUGUAAACGGUGGGUACUAGGUGUGGGGUCCAUUCCACGGGUUCCGUGCCGUAGCUAACGCUUUAAGUACCCCGCCUGGGGAGUACGGCCGCAAGGCUAAAACUCAAAGGAAUUGACGGGGCCCCGCACAAGCGGCGGAGCAUGCGGAUUAAUUCGAUGCAACGCGUAGAACCUUACCUGGGUUUGACAUGGAUCGGGAGUGCUCAGAGAUGGGUGUGCCUCUUUUGGGGUCGGUUCACAGGUGGUGCAUGGCUGUCGUCAGCUCGUGUCGUGAGAUGUUGGGUUAAGUCCCGCAACGAGCGCAACCCUUGUUCACUGUUGCCAGCACGUUAUGGUGGGGACUCAGUGGAGACCGCCGGGGUCAACUCGGAGGAAGGUGGGGAUGACGUCAAGUCAUCAUGCCCCUUAUGUCCAGGGCUUCACGCAUGCUACAAUGGCUGGUACAGAGAGUGGCGAGCCUGUGAGGGUGAGCGAAUCUCGGAAAGCCGGUCUCAGUUCGGAUUGGGGUCUGCAACUCGACCUCAUGAAGUCGGAGUCGCUAGUAAUCGCAGAUCAGCAACGCUGCGGUGAAUACGUUCCCGGGGCUUGUACACACCGCCCGUCAAGUCAUGAAAGUUGGUAACACCCGAAGCCGGUGGCCUAACCGAUGUGGGGGAGCCGUCGAAGGUGGGACUGGUGAUU
Molecule: ribosomal RNA, 1429 nt
Filed under: uncultured organism
Description: 16S ribosomal RNA
Rfam family: Bacterial small subunit ribosomal RNA
Source: RNAcentral